AGCGAACGCUGGCGGCAGGCCUAACACAUGCAAGUCGAACGAACUCUUCGGAGUUAGUGGCGGACGGGUGAGUAACACGUGGGAACGUGCCUUUAGGUUCGGAAUAACUCAGGGAAACUUGUGCUAAUACCGAAUGUGCCCUUCGGGGGAAAGAUUUAUCGCCUUUAGAGCGGCCCGCGUCUGAUUAGCUAGUUGGUGAGGUAAAGGCUCACCAAGGCGACGAUCAGUAGCUGGUCUGAGAGGAUGAUCAGCCACAUUGGGACUGAGACACGGCCCAAACUCCUACGGGAGGCAGCAGUGGGGAAUCUUGCGCAAUGGGCGAAAGCCUGACGCAGCCAUGCCGCGUGAAUGAUGAAGGUCUUAGGAUUGUAAAAUUCUUUCACCGGGGACGAUAAUGACGGUACCCGGAGAAGAAGCCCCGGCUAACUGCGU
RNAcentral lists this ribosomal RNA (432 nucleotides) under uncultured bacterium. RNAcentral's name for it is "partial 16S ribosomal RNA". It matches the Rfam family "Bacterial small subunit ribosomal RNA", at positions 29 to 506 of the family's 1533-position model. The record is from RNAcentral.